CAAAGGCUGGUGGCCUCCCUGUGAUCCCUGCCUCAGUGAUCAAAAGGGAUCACUCAAUUGGAAAACCCAGACUCUCCCUCAAAUUUCCCAUAGGGGAAGGGUGGAGAGGCAGUCUGGCUGCCAUCAGUUUGGCCUUUGCCCUUUCAAACAGGGUUCCAGGCCCAUGGCUGAUGUUCCACCUAUAAUGAACAAUAAUACUUAUGGCUAAAAGCUAUAUGAAGGCCACAAUUAGCCCUAGCAACAAUGUCAUGCAGAUCCUACUGUCAUUUUUAUUUGGAAGGAGGGAAAAUGAGGCUUGGGGAGGUUGUUAAGGUUACAUCUAAAAAGUGAUAGAACCAGUGUUCAAACUGGGAUGAUUUGACUGAACCAGGGUAUGGGACUGCCUCUGGAAUGCUGGGACCUCUUAAAUGGUUCGUGGAAUCCUACCUCCAGCCCCCACCCCCAGGAAGUAUUGCCCCUGUUUUCUUCCUGACUAGAGAAGCAGCUACCCUUGCAUUUAGCAUUCAUUCAUUUAGUUAUAGUAAAAGACCAAGAGCAACACCCCGGAACCACCAGAACCUUGGAGACAAGUUUCUCAAUCCCAUGGCCCAGGGGCUGACAACACUGCCCAACCUGUUGGGGAUCCUGGCUUGGAGGCCUGAGCCCUUCUUCACCCUGGCUAUCAGAAACAGCAGUGGUAGGGAGUCCCUGUGACUUGCUUUGGGGUCACUGCUCCCAGCCAGGGAUCUGCAGCUAAAACAAGGUCAGAGUGGAAGCCCACCUCUUCUGACCAUCCCUCCCUUUCCAGAGGCUCCAGUCACUGUGACCCCACCCAAAAAUGAGUCCAUAAUGUAAGCCACUUACCUUGUAGUGACCACACUUCACUACUCGUGAGACCUUAGUCUUCUGUGGCCAGAGGAAAGAGGGCAAAUUGGCCAGGGAUCUGGCAGAUAAAAGGGACUAAACAGGAAGUUCUGGGGCCAAAUGGGAGCACCACUGUCCUACCCAAUCCAAACAAGGCAGCAGCACCUCUGUUAUGACCCUGAGGGCAGGCAGGAAGCCAGAGCCUCAGGGCUGGGGUCCAGAGAAGCUCCAUAUCUUCCAGAAGACUCUGAAACUAACCAGAUUCACUAGACCCCUCCCGACCAGACAGAGGAAACAACACAGACUGAGAGUCUCUCUCAGUCUAAAAGAAGCCUCCAAGGUCAGAGGAGCUAAACUGCAAAGUAGACUUUCAGCCAAGCAAGCUGCAAAGACUGAGACCAGACCAGCUGACUGGAGGAAGCAGAAACCACCCAACUGCCUGGAAGAGGUGUAGAGCAGAGUCACCUAGAAAGGACACUUCAACCUGUUGACCUGUCCGCAGGCUGUGCAGUGUGCUCCAGGUUCCCAGCUUUUGUGAGCUGUCACCAUGCUGGGUGGACCUUGGUGAUGCAGCUGUCUUGAGUCAUCCGUGCUCCUGUGAGUGACCCCUCACCCCCAGUAAAACGAAUUGGUUCACCCAGUUGGACUUCAGAGGUGUCCGUACUUCAGUCUGUUGUGGAUUCCGUAUCUGGAGUGAGCAGAUGCGUGUGUUGCCUCUCUCCAGGAAAAGUUUUGCCAAACAUCACAUGAGGGCACCACCUCUUGGCUCUGGGUGCUGAAACCUGACACAUAAACAUGCAUGACAAGGAGCAGCUUUGUGUGGGAAAGCAUGGAAAACUUCACACUCAUCUUGGGAGUCAGCAUCUGUCUGUGGCUGCAGUGCCUCCAGGAAACACAAGCUGCUCUCCCACAGUUCACCUUGCCACACCUCUCGCCCAGUAGCCCAUCAAAAGUUGCCCUUCUUCUCCAGUAUUUAGAACCCGUGUGUGGGUUUCUCCUGUUCAGACGGCAUCCCAUCCAUGUCUGCUAACAGCAUGCACUCUACUGCUACAAUCUCAGAGCUUAGCCCUAACUUCCCACAGUGGCAGUAAACCAGAGGUUCUCAACCUGUGGGUCACAACCCCUUUGGAGGCCAAAUGACCCACAGGGGUCACACAUCAGAUAUCCUGCACAGCAGAUAUUUACAUUAUGAUUCAUAACUAGCAAAAUUAGAGUUAUGAAGUAGCAACGUAAAUAAUUUUAUGGCGGGGUGUCACUACAACAUGAGGAACUGUACUAAAGGGGUGCAGCAUUAGGAAGGUUGAGAACCACUGCUGUAAACAGAUAGCUACUAAUCCUGCAGAAUGGCAGACAACAAGAGUGCUGGAACGAUAAAGGAAGACAGAUGUCACCCUGAUUUCUCAACUGGAGAAGAAAAAACACAAAACCAGGUGUGAAAAUGAUAGUAAUCCUUGGGAAAAUUUUGGAAUUAAAUUUUAGUGUUGUGGUUUAAAAGCAUUUAUUUAAAAAGCAGGAGCCUGUAGUUUCUUAGAUAAAUUGUAUCGUAUCAACUGUUUGUAACAUGAAAAUUAAAUGACCCAGAGACAGAUAUUGAGGUUCAAGCUGAGGAUCAGGGAAAGGAAAGCAACCGGCUACUAGAAAGGGUGGGGUCACACAUGAGCUCUUCUCCAAGUCUCAGACUGCUGUCUCUCCUCAGUAUGCUGCAACUUUUUCUGGUCCUGUCUUAAAUACCUGGGACUAAAGGUGUGAGCUCUGUUACUCUUUUAGACUGAUUCAAUCUUGUGUAAGCUUGAGUGUCCUUGAACUCAGAGACAUCCGUCUGCCUUUGUCUUCCGAGUCCUGGGAUUAAAGGUGUGUGCCUGGGUUCUGUGGCUUGUGGCUGACUUUGCUUUCUGAAUCCUCAGGUAAGCUUUAAUAAAUUAUAAAGAACAUAUCACCAUAACCAUUGAAACCUGGCCUGUUGAUGACCCCUAACUGAGAAUCCUAGUGAUAGUGGAUACAUAAGCCCAACUGUCCAUCUCCUGUGACCAGAAUUGGUGCCUAGCUCAAUUGUCACCAGAGAGGCUUCAUCCAGCAUCUAAUGGAAACAGAUGUAGACCCACAGCCAAACAUUAGUUGGGAUUCAGGGAAUCCUGUAGGAGAGGGAAAGGAGCCAGAAGGGUCAAGGCCAUCACAAGAAAACCCACAUAAUCAACUAACCAGGGCUCAUGGGGCUCUCAGAGACUGAACAGAUAACCAGGGAACCUGCAUGGGACUGACCUAGGCCCUAAGUAUAUAUGUUACAGUUGUGUAGCUGGGUCCUCUUGUAGGACUCCUAAGAGUGGGAGCAGGGGCUGUCUCUGACUCCCUGGCUUUUGGGAUCCUAUUUCUCAUACUGGGUUGCCUUGCCCAGCCUUAAUGCAAUGGGAGACACUUAGUCUACCUGCAACUUGAUAUGCCACAUUUUGUUGAUAUCCAUGGGAGGCCUGCCCUUUUCUGAAUAGAAAUGGAGGAGGAGUGGAUGAGGGCAGGGCAUAGCAUGACUAAUAAAAACCCAGAAAGAGAUAUAUUGGCGAUGAAGCUACAGAUCUGAGAAGCAAAGCAGCUAAUCUCUAGAGACUUCUCACCUUUGCCGAUGCUUAGACCAAAGGGUUGAUCCUUAGACUGCUCCUGACUAUACUGCUCCUCAGACUGCAAUGAGUUCCUGUCUCUUCCCAGCCAUAACAUUCCUGUCUCUGCCUCCUUAGUGCUGGGAUUAAACGUGUGAGCCCUGUUAUUCUUUUAGGCUGAUUCAUUCUCCUGUAGCCCGGGGCCGCCUUGGGCUCACUGAAAUCAAUGUGGCUUAGUCUCCUGAGACCAGGGAUUAAAAGUGUGUGCCUGCACUGCCCUGUUUCUUUAGCUAACUAGUGUGGCUGGCUUUGCAUUCUGAUCCUUCAGGAAAUCUUUAUUAAAUCAUAAAUAAUAUGUCACUGUGGGGGUGGGGGAUAGGAGUGGUGGUAAGGUUGGAGGAAGGGACUGGGACCAGAGGAGAGAGGGGAAACGGCAGCCAGGAUGUAAAAUAAAUGAAUAAAUACAUUAAUUUGUUUUUUUGGCCUGCUUUAUUUUUACUAUGCUUUCUUUG
RNAcentral lists this long non-coding RNA (3943 nucleotides) under Cricetulus griseus (Chinese hamster). RNAcentral's name for it is "lncRNA (ENSCGRG00015042776.1)". The record is from RNAcentral. Lineage: Eukaryota; Metazoa; Chordata; Mammalia; Rodentia; Cricetidae.